AAAACGCAUGUUUUAGUUUAUUUAUUUGAUAACCGAAUGAUCAAAUACGGAAGUUAUAAACGUGUUACAGGAAUAAAAUGCUGAUAUAAUAUCGAUUUUGCUUGCUAAAAUAGUUUUUAAGUACUACUAUCAAAUUAAAUGGAUUUAAGUACAAACAUAAGUGUCCAUCUGCAAAUCCACACAGUUUGAAACGAUAAGUCAAGCCAAAAUAAAGCUUGUGACACUUCGAUUAGUAGUAUGAUUGAUAUCGUUUACGGUACUCAUUCUCUUUAAAUUAAUAACGGCAGCGUAUAAAAUCGGAUAACUGGGAAUAGCUCCUCACUGAAAUACACGUGCAGCAAGUGGUAACACCAACGCUGAAGUCUCCUUUAGCCAGGCAUCAACUUGGCAAAGAGAAGCAAGUGGUAACAUCAACGUUGAUGUCUUAUAUAUCCAGGGAUCGAAUGGGCAAACCUCUCACGUGGAUCAUUACCAGCAUCUCCAAGUAGACGUUAGUCUGAGAGGCAUCUUACCACAACCGCAACUAAACAAUUAGUUGAGCAGCUGGAACCGGAUAUGAAGUCUAUACUUAACUAUUUUGUUUUUAAGGACUUCUUCUACUGCACAUACCCGAAUAACAAUUAUAAUUGAAUGAAAACUUACACAACUGCACAUACAUUGAGAGAAAUAGCCAUCGAAAAAAAUUAGACGAAAUUUAUGAAUUAAAAAAAAAAUCUAUAUACAAAUUCAUUGGUGGAACGCAAAGCAAAGUGAAGCUUUACAGUAAUUAAUUGAUAUGAAAAGAUAUCGUAGUUUUGCUAGUAAAACGCGUAACAAAAUAAAUUUGACCAUUUUUUUAAAUUUUGAUAUACGUUGAAGAAAAUGCUUAACUUUGAAAAAUAACAUGUUCAAACAAUGAUUUAACUAUUUAUGUAACACAUUAAUGUAAAAGCCUUAUAUAAUUAUGCAAUUAAUGUUAAUAAUUAAUUAUAAAAAAUAUAGAAAAGUGUAUUGUUUUAUUAAUUAAUUAUGUUGUUCAAAAAUUCUAGCCGCACGAAGAAGGAUUCUUAUGCAUACAGGUAAUUGGAUAUAUAACAACAACAAAAAAAAAACAAACAACAACAUUUAGUAGCUCUUAAGCAUACACUUUCUUUUAGCCUAAUGAAAAAUACACACGUUUUAUGACAUGGAUUAUGAAUAUUUUGUAAUGGUAUAAGUUAACAAUGAUCUUACUGAUUAAUAACACAAUAUGUAUCACCUUUACAUCGAUAAUACCACGUGUUCAUUGAAUACUGAGAUAAACAAAUAUCUGCACUACAUAAGUACUUUAACUUUAAUAUUGAUCUUGAUUAUUACUCAUCAAAUGAUGAUAAACAUAGUGUUAAACAUCAAUGAAUGAAUUGUUAAUUGUUUCUAAAUUGUUCCGUCUAAAAUCGAUUUACAUAAAAAAAUGAAAUAUAAUUAUUUAUUUUUUAUUUUGGUUUCUCAUUAACAUAUCAAACUGAUUUAACAUUGUCCGUCUUUGAUAAAAUGACUUUAAGUAUGUUUUAUAAUAUCUUUGUAUAUUUGACUUUUAAUAAGAAUUACUAUUCACUUUUUACGACAUUAAGAUUCCAAAAUUUACAUUUUCUGUUAACUCAAAUAAAAGAGUGGUAUCGACCUGAUUCUAAUUCUUAUUUAUGUGAUGAUAGGCGACAUUGAUUAAGUGCUAUUUUUAAUUGUUCUUGUAAUGAUAUCUAGAUAUUGUUUUGUUUUAAAACGUAUUCUUAGUGAGACAAUAUGUAUAAACUCUUGAUGAAUGAUUGAUUUCAUUGUCACGGUGUUGUGUGUUAUGAUAAAAAAACUUGUUGUUAGAUUUGUUUGUAAGUUAGUGUCUGUAUGUUCAUUAUUUUUUCUGUAAAGGUUUCUUGUUCAGUCCAUAUAUAAGGUAAACCUAGCUUCUCGAUUAUUCAUUUGAUAAGAUAAGCCAAAUUUAUUUUGUUUUGUAGUUAUACAUAUGUUAUUUUACUGAGACUAUCAUUUGUACAUGAUAUUAUUGUUUGAACCAUUAUUGAAAUAUGGGUUAUGUAUCAUCACAGCUAAGGGUUAUCGUCCUAAUUCGCCAUACUGAUCUGAUAGAUUUGUUGAUUUGUUGACUCAUAAUUUUUGUCUUAAAAACUUUUUCGAUAAGAACGGUGGUUUCUUAUUUAUCAAUAAGAUUUGUUGUUUCUUUACUUGCGAAAACAAAGUGUUUAAAACAGAUAAAAGUCGAUAAAGCGCUCUUUUACCGUGUUCUGAAUUAGAUUUUGUUUAUUGUGUAUACCAGUUUCCGCGAUUUGUUAUUGUUUAUACCAGUUUCCGUUUAAACAUUCUCCAAAAUACUUGAAAAUAUAUUCUUUAUAUCCUGCGAUAUCGAAUAUAU
Long non-coding RNA from Dreissena polymorpha, 2380 nucleotides. RefSeq lists it as uncharacterized. The transcript is spliced from 6 exons. Lineage: Eukaryota; Metazoa; Mollusca; Bivalvia; Myida; Dreissenidae. The record is from RefSeq and is a predicted model, not a curated record.